AAGUCGUAACAAGGUCUCCGUUGGUGAACCAGCGGAGGGAUCAUUACCGAGUACUAUAACUCAUAACCCUUUGUGAACCUUCAUACCUGUUGCUUCGGCGGCGCGCCUCUCGGGGCGUGCCCGCCGGGGACCCAAACACUAUAUUUUACCCAGUGUAUCUCUGAGUGAACCAUAAAUAAAUCAAAACCUUUAACAACGGAUCUCUUGGCUCUG
This 213-nucleotide unclassified non-coding RNA is filed under the name fungal sp. Its description in RNAcentral is "partial internal transcribed spacer region". The stretch from base 1 to 46 matches the Rfam family "Eukaryotic small subunit ribosomal RNA", at positions 1786 to 1831 of the family's 1831-position model. Lineage: Eukaryota; Fungi. The record is from RNAcentral.